This 457-nucleotide ribosomal RNA is filed under the name uncultured bacterium. RNAcentral's name for it is "bacterial SSU rRNA". It matches the Rfam family "Bacterial small subunit ribosomal RNA", at positions 340 to 786 of the family's 1533-position model. The record is from RNAcentral.
UACGGAAGGCAGCAGUGGGGAAUAUUGCACAAUGGGCGAAAGCCUGAUGCAGCUAUGCCGCGUGUAUGAAGAAGGCCUUAGGGUUGUAAAGUACUUUCAUCGGGGAGGAAAAAACAAAACUAAUAAUUUUAUUUCUUGACGUUACCCGAAAAAGAAGCACCGGCUAACUCCGUGCCAGCAGCCGCGGUAAUACAGAGGGUGCUAGCGUUAAUCAGAAUUACUGGGCGUAAAGAGCACGUAGGUGGUUUUUUUAAGUCAGAUGUGAAAUCCCUGGGCUUAACCUAGGAACUGCAUUUUGAAACUGAAAUACUAGAGUAUCGUAGAGGGAGGUAGAAUUCUAGGUGUAGCGGUGAAAUGCGUAGAUAUCUGGAGGAAUACCUGUGGCGAAAGCGGGCCUCCUAAACGAAUACUGACACUGAGGUGCGAAAGCGUGGGGAGCAAACAGGGAUUAGAUACC